GGGCCUUUAGCUCAACUGGCAGAGCAAGGAGCUUUUAACUCUUAGGUUGUGGGUUCGAGUCCCACAGGGCCCA
This 73-nucleotide transfer RNA is filed under the name bacterium. RNAcentral describes it as "tRNA-Lys". It matches the Rfam family "tRNA". From Rfam's summary of the family: Transfer RNA (tRNA) molecules are approximately 80 nucleotides in length. Their secondary structure includes four short double-helical elements and three loops (D, anti-codon, and T loops). Further hydrogen bonds mediate the characteristic L-shaped molecular structure. tRNAs have two regions of fundamental functional importance: the anti-codon, which is responsible for specific mRNA codon recognition, and the 3' end, to which the tRNAs corresponding amino acid is attached (by aminoacyl-tRNA synthetases). tRNAs cope with the degeneracy of the genetic code in two manners: having more than one tRNA (with a specific anti-codon) for a particular amino acid; and 'wobble' base-pairing, i.e. permitting non-standard base-pairing at the 3rd anti-codon position. The record is from RNAcentral.